This 253-nucleotide ribosomal RNA is filed under the name uncultured bacterium. RNAcentral describes it as "partial 16S ribosomal RNA". It matches the Rfam family "Bacterial small subunit ribosomal RNA", at positions 524 to 776 of the family's 1533-position model. The record is from RNAcentral.
UACGAAGGGUGCAAGCGUUACUCGGAAUUACUGGGCGUAAAGCGUGCGUAGGUGGUUGUUUAAGUCUGUCGUGAAAGCCCUGGGCUCAACCUGGGAAUGGCGAUGGAAACUGGACGACUAGAGUGUGGCAGAGGGUAGUGGAAUUCCUGGUGUAGCAGUGAAAUGCGUAGAGAUCAGGAGGAACAUCCGUGGCGAAGGCGACUGCCUGGGCCAACACUGACACUGAGGCACGAAAGCGUGGGGAGCAAACAGG